Molecule: long non-coding RNA, 204 nt
Filed under: Rosa chinensis
Lineage: Eukaryota; Viridiplantae; Streptophyta; Magnoliopsida; Rosales; Rosaceae
Description: sRNA RchiOBHm_Chr2g0137731
Source: RNAcentral
AGUUGACGAGCGUUUGGAAUAUCGUUAUAUUUGACUUUUUAGAAGACGCAGCUGGAUUAGAGCAUGUCGGGAAAUCUCACAGGUCAGGAGAAUCAGGGCUGUGAUCGUGCGGUUUAGAGUAUUAGUAUUAGAUUUACAGCAUUUGUUUUGUGAGGAGAAUUAUACUCAUUUGAGUUUUACAAUUUGAUUUGGUGAGAGUGUGCU